This 688-nucleotide ribosomal RNA is filed under the name uncultured fungus. RNAcentral's name for it is "eukaryotic LSU rRNA". The stretch from base 451 to 688 matches the Rfam family "Eukaryotic large subunit ribosomal RNA", at positions 1 to 233 of the family's 3401-position model. The record is from RNAcentral. Lineage: Eukaryota; Fungi.
UUACACAUUCAAAACCCACACUCUUGUAACCAUCUUAUAAAAUAUAUUAUAUCUUGCAUAUAAUAAUAAUUAAAAACAACUUUCAACAACGGAUCUCUUGGCUCUCGCAUCGAUGAAGAACGCAGCGAAUUGCGAUAAGUAAUGUGAAUUGCAGAAUUACGUGAAUCAUCGAAUCUUUGAACGCAUAUUGCACUCUCUGGUAAUCCGGGGAGUAUGCCUGUUUGAGGGUCAGUAAAUAAUAAAUUAUCACAAUCGUUGGUUGUGGAAUUGGGCUCUUAUUUCGAAUAGAUUUAUGGCCUUAAAUUUACGUCAUGUGCUUAAUUCGAACCAAACGGAGCAAUUAAACAUUCUCUCGUUAGACGGAUUACUCACAAGCCAUUACGAUUUUUUGGACGACAAAAAGCACUUUCACGAGCGCGAAGCCCAAGAUCGUAAAUUCAUCCUGACAAAUGACCUCAAAUCAGGCAAGAAUACCCGCUGAACUUAAGCAUAUCAAUAAGCGGGGGAAAAGAAACUAACAAGGAUUCCCCUAGUAACGGCGAGUGAAGAGGGAAGAGCUCAAAUUUUAAAUCCGCCUUGUUCGCAAGGCCGAGUUGUAAUUUGAAGAAGCGUUUUCUUGGGCUCGCUGCCGGUAGAAGUUCUUUGGAACAGGACAUCAUAGAGGGUGACAAUCCCGUCUGUGACCGGU